GAUCAGAGCUAAUACAUGCAAACAACAUGGAUUACUAUAUUUAUAUGGUUGAUACAUGUGCUUUUAUUAGAUUAAAACCAAAUCCAAUUUAUUGGAUAGAUUUUAGAUGAAUCUGGAUAAUUUUGGCUGAUCGUAUGGUCUUUGUACCGACGAUAGAUCAUUCAAAUGUCUGCCCUAUCAACUAUUGAUGGUAGUAUAGAGGACUACCAUGGUUGCAACGGGUAACGGGGAAUCAGGGUUCGAUUCCGGAGAGGGAGCCUGAGAAACGGCUACCACAUCUAAGGAAGGCAGCAGGCGCGUAAAUUACCCAAUCCCAGUACGGGGAGGUAGUGACGAAAAAUAACAAUACAGGACUCAUAUCCGAGGCCCUGUAAUUGGAAUGAGAACACUUUAAAUCCUUUAACAAGUAACAAUUGGAGGGCAAGUCUGGUGCCAGCAGCCGCGGUAAUUCCAGCUCCAAUAGCGUAUAUUAAAGUUGUUGCGGUUAAAACGUUCGUAGUUGAAUUUGUGUCCCACACGGGUAAUACACCUAAGUGCGGGUUUCGUAUUACUUGUUGUGUUUGCAUUGGUAAAACAGUGUGAAUAUGACUUUAAGUGUGAUGGACGUUUUACCGGUGAGGGAAACGGAUUCGUAUUAUUUUCUAAUAGUACCGGAUAACGCCCCUUAUCCAAAAAAACCCAUUUUGGUGCUCUUCACCGAGUGCUAAUGUGGGCCGGUACAAUUACUUUGAACAAAUUAGAGUGCUUAAAGCAGGCUAAAUUUAAUGAAAAUUAAAACGCCUGAAUAUAUUUUGCAUGGAAUAAUGGAAUAGGACCUCUGUUCUACUUUCAUUGGUUUUUAGAUCAAGAGGUAAUGAUUAAUAGAAGCAGUUGGGGGCAUUAGUAUUACGAGGCGAGAGGUGAAAUUCGUAGACCCUCGUAAGACUGACUUAAGCGAAAGCAUUUGCCAAGGAUGUUUUCAUUAAUCAAGAACGAAAGUUAGAGGAUCGAAGGCGAUCAGAUACCGCCCUAGUUCUAACCAUAAACGAUGCCAGCUAGCAAUUGAAUGUAGCUACUUAUUUAGGCUCAUUCAGUCGCUUUCCGGGAAACCAAAGCUUUUGGGCUCCGGGGGAAGUAUGGUUGCAAAGCUGAAACUUAAAGGAAUUGACGGAAGGGCACCACCAGGAGUGGAGCCUGCGGCUUAAUUUGACUCAACACGGGAAAACUUACCAGGUCCGAACAUAAAUGAGUAAGACAGAUUGAUAGCUCUUUCUCGAAUCUAUGGGUGGUGGUGCAUGGCCGUUCUUAGUUCGUGGAGUGAUUUGUCUGGUUAAUUCCGAUAACGAACGAGACUCAAACUUUUUUAAAUAGAUGCCUGCAGGGUUAUGAUGUUGAAAUUUUACGUCACCCGUUUCUCGAUCGAUCAUACGAGGAGCAAUCUGAGUAUGGUUGGCGGGUUUCUUGGUUGCGACAUAAAAUGGAGUCAUACCUGUUUGGUUUGUCUUAAUAGGACACUUUGCUUCUUAAAUGGACAAAAUGCGUCUAGCAUUAAUGAGAUUGAGCAAUAACAGGUCUGUGAUGCCCUUAGAUGUCCUGGGCUGCACGCGCGCUACAAUGAAGGUAUCAGUGUGUUCUAUCCUUGGCCGAGAGGUCUGGGUAAACAUUGAACCACCUUCUUGGUUGGGAUUGUGGACUGUAACUGUUCACAUGAACCCGGAAUUCCCAGUAAGUGCGAGUCAUAAGCUUGCAUUGAUUAC
RNAcentral lists this ribosomal RNA (1736 nucleotides) under Nemopalpus nearcticus. RNAcentral's name for it is "SSU rRNA". It matches the Rfam family "Eukaryotic small subunit ribosomal RNA", at positions 156 to 1648 of the family's 1831-position model. Lineage: Eukaryota; Metazoa; Arthropoda; Insecta; Diptera; Psychodidae. The record is from RNAcentral.